RNAcentral lists this transfer RNA (87 nucleotides) under Ruminiclostridium cellulolyticum H10. RNAcentral's name for it is "tRNA-Leu (CAA) (tRNA-Leu-CAA-1-1)". It matches the Rfam family "tRNA". Rfam says of the family: Transfer RNA (tRNA) molecules are approximately 80 nucleotides in length. Their secondary structure includes four short double-helical elements and three loops (D, anti-codon, and T loops). Further hydrogen bonds mediate the characteristic L-shaped molecular structure. tRNAs have two regions of fundamental functional importance: the anti-codon, which is responsible for specific mRNA codon recognition, and the 3' end, to which the tRNAs corresponding amino acid is attached (by aminoacyl-tRNA synthetases). tRNAs cope with the degeneracy of the genetic code in two manners: having more than one tRNA (with a specific anti-codon) for a particular amino acid; and 'wobble' base-pairing, i.e. permitting non-standard base-pairing at the 3rd anti-codon position. The record is from RNAcentral. RNAcentral also lists the same sequence under 2 other names. Lineage: Bacteria; Bacillati; Bacillota; Clostridia; Eubacteriales; Oscillospiraceae.
GCCGAAGUGGUGAAACUGGCAGACGCACUGGACUCAAAAUCCAGCGGUAGCGAUACCGUACCGGUUCGAUUCCGGUCUUCGGCACCA